GGGCCGUUAGCGCAGUUGGUAGACCAGCGGACUUUUAAUCCGUUGGUCACUGGUUCGAAUCCAGUACGGCCCA
RNAcentral lists this transfer RNA (73 nucleotides) under Caballeronia sp. LZ031. RNAcentral's name for it is "tRNA-Lys". It matches the Rfam family "tRNA". Rfam says of the family: Transfer RNA (tRNA) molecules are approximately 80 nucleotides in length. Their secondary structure includes four short double-helical elements and three loops (D, anti-codon, and T loops). Further hydrogen bonds mediate the characteristic L-shaped molecular structure. tRNAs have two regions of fundamental functional importance: the anti-codon, which is responsible for specific mRNA codon recognition, and the 3' end, to which the tRNAs corresponding amino acid is attached (by aminoacyl-tRNA synthetases). tRNAs cope with the degeneracy of the genetic code in two manners: having more than one tRNA (with a specific anti-codon) for a particular amino acid; and 'wobble' base-pairing, i.e. permitting non-standard base-pairing at the 3rd anti-codon position. RNAcentral also lists the same sequence under 1 other name. Lineage: Bacteria; Pseudomonadati; Pseudomonadota; Betaproteobacteria; Burkholderiales; Burkholderiaceae. The record is from RNAcentral.